UUUGGUCUCAUUGAUAUUUUUACUUCAUGACAAAAUGGUUAAGUCUUGUCAUUAUAGUCAGUUCAACAAUCAAGGUCACAUUUCUUUUUCCCCUCAGAAAGGAGAAAAAUACAUGUUUGUUGUAUGUGUUUGGGUGUGUAUGAUAGGUAUUCUUUUUAUUAAGAAAGAACACAAAUCAUAUACUUGAAAAGGACGGUUCACGGAUCGUGAAAAAAGAAGAGAGUGUGAACCCUCUUUUUUAUUCAUUGUUUUUGGGGGUGUGGUAAUGAUCCUUCCGCAGGUUCACCUACGGAAA
Molecule: unclassified non-coding RNA, 295 nt
Filed under: uncultured fungus
Lineage: Eukaryota; Fungi
Description: sequence contains ITS1
Source: RNAcentral